This 217-nucleotide long non-coding RNA is filed under the name Lathyrus oleraceus (garden pea). Its description in RNAcentral is "Pisum sativum (pea) long non-coding RNA (PSAT_LNC013104)". The record is from RNAcentral. Lineage: Eukaryota; Viridiplantae; Streptophyta; Magnoliopsida; Fabales; Fabaceae.
AAGAGACCUCAUGAUGCAUAUGAUAUGAAUGUAAAAUUUAAUGCUCUGAAGAAAAAGAAAUCAAAGAGACCGAAAAUCCGCAGGAGCACAAUGCAUUCCGUAAGGAAAACUCACUGGGGGGACAUAGACUCUGGGGAAAAAGGAGUUAUGCGUAGGCCAGGCUAUGACUUAAAACUACUGGGGGACUAGAGGGAUUCCACACAAACAUGGAAAAGAC